Long non-coding RNA from Macaca mulatta (Rhesus monkey), 1823 nucleotides. NCBI's taxonomy places the organism in Eukaryota, Metazoa, Chordata, Mammalia, Primates, Cercopithecidae. The record is from Ensembl.
AGAAGAAAGGGACAGUGGCCCCCGGCUCCUCCAGGACUCGAGGAGAGGCCUCAGGGCGCUGGCUGGAGACGAGGGAUGGGAACCGUGCGCCAUGACAGAGCUCGAGAAAAUCCACCGGGGUGCCGCUUGGGCAACGUGGCGAAAGUGCAGCACAGUGUUUUGCUGGGGAUCUCUGGUCUCAACCUAGGAGUCAAAAAGGACAGAGAGAGAGAAAUGGCCACGUUUGCAGGAUUCAGUCAAAGGAUAGAUAAAAUGGCUAGGACUAAAUGAAUUUAUGAACAUCUUCCUGAGAAGAAGAAUAGAGAGAGUAAGUAAGUACAUUGGUCUCUCUUGCACAUCUCUCCCCUGGUACCUUGAAAGUUUUUGCAAGGGUUGUUAUCUCUUACCUGUUUUCUAUCAUCUGCUAUUUUGUACAAUACAGUGCCUCUAGACCUUACAAUGGAUGCUUUCUGCUACACUCAGUGGUGUCUACCAAUAUUCCCUCCUUGGACUUAAGGAUUAAAGAGCAAAAUAAGUAUGCUCUCUGACCCUACUGGAAUAAACUCAGAAACAUCACACUAUUUAAAUUUGUCAUUGUCCAAUUGUGACACCAAUUCUGUUCAUGAUGACAUUUUCUGUUAGUUUGAUAGGGUCAGGUUAGGAUUAUGAUAACUGUAAUUCACUUUUAGGUAUCAAAUUUUCAUAAAUCACAUCCUCCCUUGCAUAUGAUGGUGUGCCACGUGAGACAUUUUAAUGCAUUAAUUGCCUAACAAGAGUAUAAUGAAUAUUCACUCUGGAAUAUUGUUCAAGUAUGUUCCAAGGGUUACUUUGUAGCAAAGCCUCAGAACAUUAUAUUCUUAAUGUUGUUAUAUAUUUGUUUAAUUGAAUUCCUUAUACUUUUUAGUAAUGGAUGAGAAUUCUGAAGAAUAGUCUUUAAGCUGGCAAAAUUUUAUGAUUCUUUUAUUAUCUUUUAAAUAAGACAGUGGGGAGACACGGAACUAGUAUUUAUUCAAUGUUUUACUACGGGUUAGACACCAUGUUAUGUGCUAAGCAUAUCUUCUCUGCAUAAUUAUAAUCACUCUACAAGGUUGCCAUGCUGUUCAUAGAGAUUGAUUGGCCCAAGAUUCUACAGUUAAAAAAAUGGUUAAAGCAUAAUUUAACUCCAAGCCUGCCUGGCUCCCAAACCCAUUCUCUUUCCUCUCUCCAUGGUAUUUGUACAGCAAUAGUAUCAAAAUGUGGGAUCCAAUAAGAUCCACUUGAAGAAGUGAGAUUUAGUUAUGUUUUCACUCCAGUUGAAAUUUAUUUCUGAGAAGAUUGAUUAGACCUAGAGUUUGUUCUAGUUGAAGUGAUAAGCCUUGUUUUCCUCAUCCAGUGUUUGAAGGCAGACCUCAGUUAACCAUGGCCUCAGGACCAUAGAUGAGUUGAUUGGCUUCUUUAUCUUCAUGAAAUUGACAUAAGCAAUAUCUACUCUGGCAAGUCUGUUCUUCUAGAAAUUACAAUACAUAUUUCGCAACACAAUGUACAAUGCAAAUAUACUAUGCAUAUGGACUAUGUUACACUAAUUAGAUUCAGCAUCUAUUUAGAGAGUGUUUCUAAUUGGUUUCUCUACUUAGGAAAAUAAGUCAAGGGUAAGGAGUCUUACUGUGAAUUUAAAUCAAAUUAAUUGUAGCCUUUUAUAUCAGCUAUACCUAAUAAAAUGUUAUUUUCUUGAAUUAAUUAAUUACUGCAGUGAUCAUGAAAUCUCCCUGGUACCUCUCAGUUCCAAAACUUAUAUAUAUAUAUAUAUAUUUAUAUAUAUAACCUAAAUUUAUAUAUAAUAUAAAUAUGUUUAUAUAUAUAUUAUA